Molecule: ribosomal RNA, 59 nt
Filed under: Securidaca longipedunculata
Lineage: Eukaryota; Viridiplantae; Streptophyta; Magnoliopsida; Fabales; Polygalaceae
Description: partial 26S ribosomal RNA
Source: RNAcentral
ACGAGACCCCAGGUCAGGCAGGGACACCCGCUAAGUUUAAGCAUAUCAAUAAGCAGAGG